AUACAAUACCCUUUUAAUUUGAAUGGGUUGAUCAACAACACGACACAAUUCACAUAUCGAUCCUUUCCAAUCCAAUUGUCAUAUCCAUCCUUCCCAAUUCAAUUGUGUUUUCGCGGUAAAAGUUAUAUACGUACUACGUACAUCGUGUUACACUUCCCGAACCUAAUAUAUGUCUCAAUAAUUCUUCAAUACGGUAUAUUAACAGAUGAACGAAGCCCUGCCUCGUCUUCCUCCUGCUCCCCCCUCUGAGUUCUCCAUUAAAUCGCACUUGACGUUCUCCAUUGAGGCGCCAUCUAAUGCUUGUAUUCCCCCAUUGAAGCAGCUUCUGAGGACAAGGUGAGCCAUGUUGAUUCCACACACUGUUUCUUUGCAAGGCCUUCUUCAUUCUGCCUUGCCUGCGAAAAAGUUGUCAUGUUUGGAGCAGCAGAAGGAUCAAAGGUUGUGGCCACUCUGGGGCUUAGUAUGGGAUUUGGAGCAUUGACACAAGGCCUUGGCCACCCAGGUUCGUAUGCAGGAUCAACGGCCUGCAUCAUAGAGGAUGGCCUCAUGAACCCAUCUAGGGCAUGAGAAAAUUCGGAUGGAUCCUGGUUAAGAUCCAUUUCAGGGUUAUGCCUUGGCUGCCAUCCACUGUGGUCAUAUCCAUGGUAAAAAGGAUACUUGAUUUGUUGUCCAUAAUAGGGACCCUGAGAUAGAGGUACCCUUGCACGUUCAUAACUAUGAUAAGGGAUUGGAUUUUCAGCAUUUCCCUGUGCUUCUUUCAUUGCGCGCUCCAUCUCCCUCUCUUGCUUGUGUGCUCUUUGGUGGCCACCAAGCGCCUGUGUAGUCGGCAAUUCCUUGUAACAGAACUUGCAGACUAUGGGAUUUUGAGUUGGAGGUGGAGGGGCAGGAGGCCAAACAAAACCAGAGGGGUGUUUGGAAGAUUCUCCUUUUUCACCUUUGUUGGGGUAUGAAUAUAAAUUGAAAGGUAGCCCUGACUCUUGCUUUUUCUUUGGUAUCUCUGGUUUGGCAUCACCCUCUGGGGAUAAUUGCUUAAACAUGGCUUUCUCCUGAGGAUAAUUUCCUGGUGUUAUGGCCAAGGAAAGGGUUGGUAUUUCAGGGGAGUUCAGCUCUGGCUUAAAGCCAUUUCUCUCGAGUGCCUCAUAAGCAAUUGUCUUCCCCUUGUCCAAUGUGCAUUUCUUCGGGGGUAGUACUGCUGACCCAAGAAACCCAAAUUGGCUCGAAAGGAGGCUUGACAUAAUUUUGCUUCCAUGGUGGCUUUCAAAUUUUUUACUCUGAACUCUGUUUGGUGGACUGUAUUUUGGUGUGAGGAAGAGGGGUCAAAAUCAAGUAUUUAUUGACAAGAAAAAUUAUUGUUCUAUACUCAUAUAUGGUAUAUAUAUCCUAAUGAAUCUGUUAAGGUGUGAA
Chenopodium quinoa (quinoa) is the source of this 1404-nucleotide long non-coding RNA. RefSeq lists it as uncharacterized. Lineage: Eukaryota; Viridiplantae; Streptophyta; Magnoliopsida; Caryophyllales; Amaranthaceae. The record is from RefSeq and is a predicted model, not a curated record. The transcript has 2 exons.